CAGACUAUAAUUUAUACAAAAUAUUAGCUUUGGAAGCUAAAAAUCAGUCACCCUGUAGUCUGA
RNAcentral lists this transfer RNA (63 nucleotides) under Tylorrhynchus heterochetus (Japanese palolo). RNAcentral's name for it is "tRNA-Pro". The record is from RNAcentral. Lineage: Eukaryota; Metazoa; Annelida; Polychaeta; Phyllodocida; Nereididae.